This 490-nucleotide ribosomal RNA is filed under the name uncultured bacterium. RNAcentral describes it as "partial 16S ribosomal RNA". It matches the Rfam family "Bacterial small subunit ribosomal RNA", at positions 30 to 507 of the family's 1533-position model. The record is from RNAcentral.
AUUGAACGCUGGCGGCAGGCUUAACACAUGCAAGUCGAACGGUAACAGGAAGCAGCUUGCUGCUUUGCUGACGAGUGGCGGACGGGUGAGUAAUGUCUGGGAAACUGCCUGAUGGAGGGGGAUAACUACUGGAAACGGUAGCUAAUACCGCAUAACGUCGCAAGACCAAAGAGGGGGACCUUAGGGCCUCUUGUCAUCGGAUGUGCCCAGAUGGGAUUAGCUAGUAGGUGGGGUAACGGCUCACCUAGGCGACGAUCCCUAGCUGGUCUGAGAGGAUGACCGGCCGCACUGGAGCGGGGACACGCUCCAGACUCCUACGGGAGGCAGCAGUGUGGAAUAUUGCACAGUAGGCGCAAGCCUGAUGCAGCCGUGCCGCGUGUAUGAAAAAGGCCUUCGGGUUGUAAAGUACUUUCAGCGGUGAGGAAGGGAGUAAAGUUAAUACCUUGGCUCAUUGACGUUACCCGCAGAAGAAGCACCGGCUAACUCCGUG